This 863-nucleotide ribosomal RNA is filed under the name Octaviania cyanescens. RNAcentral's name for it is "eukaryotic LSU rRNA". The stretch from base 246 to 400 matches the Rfam family "5.8S ribosomal RNA". Lineage: Eukaryota; Fungi; Basidiomycota; Agaricomycetes; Boletales; Boletaceae. The record is from RNAcentral.
CUAACAAGGUUUCCGUAGGUGAACCUGCGGAAGGAUCAUUAUCGCACAAGAAAGGCUCUGGAUUGUCGCUGGCUAGGUGAUUCUAGCAUCGUGCACGUCUACUCCUUUCUAUCUUCAUAACACACCUGUGCACCAAUUGUAGAUCAACCGAAAAGUACUAGUGAAUUAGUAUCUUAUUAGGCACCGAUCUAUGUUUAACCUCACACCAAACAAUGUAUGUCUUUAGAAUGUAUUAUAAAUAUUACAACUUUCAGCAAUGGAUCUCUUGGCUCUUGCAUCGAUGAAGAACGCAGCGAAUUGCGAUAAGUAAUGUGAAUUGCAGAUUUUCAGUGAAUCAUCGAAUCUUUGAACGCACCUUGCGCUCCUUGGUAUUCCGAGGAGCAUGCCUGUUUGAGUGUCAUUUAAUUAUCAACCGAAAAGUACUAGUGAAUGCUAGUAACUUAUUAGGUGCCGAAAAGUACUAGCGAUAGUAGCUUAUUAGGCACUGAAAAGUACUAGUAGUACUUAUUAGGCUUGGACUUGGGAUUUGCUGGCUUUCGGUAGUCAGCUAUCCUUAAAUGCAUUAGCGAGUGAAGUCUUGACGUGCACGGCCUCUGACGUGAUAAUGAUCGUCGGUGGGCUGGAAGCGUCAUUAGGAAACUUGCUUCUAAUUUGACAUGCGUCACUAGUAUAUUUUGACCUCAAAUCAGGUAGGACUACCCGCUGAACUUAAGCAUAUCAAUAAGCGGAGGAAAAGAAACUAACAAGGAUUCCCCUAGUAACUGCGAGUGAAGCGGGAAAAGCUCAAAUUUUGAAUCUGGCGGUCCGUUUGUCGGCCGUCCGAAUUGUAAUCUAGAGAAGCGUCUUCCGCGCUGGACCGUGUA